GAUGAACGCUGGCGGCGUGCCUAAUACAUGCAAGUCGAGCGAACAGACGAGGAGCUUGCUCCUCUGACGUUAGCGGCGGACGGGUGAGUAACACGUGGAUAACCUACCUAUAAGACUGGGAUAACUUCGGGAAACCGGAGCUAAUACCGGAUAAUAUAUUGAACCGCAUGGUUCAAUAGUGAAAGACGGUUUUGCUGUCACUUAUAGAUGGAUCCGCGCCGCAUUAGCUAGUUGGUAAGGUAACGGCUUACCAAGGCAACGAUGCGUAGCCGACCUGAGAGGGUGAUCGGCCACACUGGAACUGAGACACGGUCCAGACUCCUACGGGAGGCAGCAGUAGGGAAUCUUCCGCAAAGGGCGAAAGCCUGACGGAGCAACGCCGCGUGAGUGAUGAAGGUCUUCGGAUCGUAAAACUCUGUUAUUAGGGAAGAACAAAUGUGUAAGUAACUAUGCACGUCUUGACGGUACCUAAUCAGAAAGCCACGGCUAACUACGGG
Molecule: ribosomal RNA, 497 nt
Filed under: uncultured bacterium
Lineage: Bacteria
Description: partial 16S ribosomal RNA
Rfam family: Bacterial small subunit ribosomal RNA
Source: RNAcentral